GUGGAAUGAAAAGAAUCUACUUUGAUGACAUUUCCAUUUUUAACAAAACGAACUUACAAGUUACAAACAAAGCACGUGCUAGGCUAUAAUGAAUAAUGAUACUAACACACACAUUCUACUGUGUUUAACACGUGUCUUACAUUUUCAGAAUGAUCCCAUUGCAGAAGCAAGAACCAAUCAAGUUUCAAAUAUCACUAUUUUCUUCUCAAAUCCAAACCAACCUUCAUGUCUGGCCCCAUCAAAACCUCUGCCACUUAGACUCCAUACUAAUACACCGUUCUACCUCAAAACCCUAUCUUUUUUCCAAAUUCUGAUACGCAUUUAGGUGAGUAUCUACUUGUAAAUUAGGGUUUAGGGU
RNAcentral lists this long non-coding RNA (358 nucleotides) under Vigna radiata. RNAcentral's name for it is "long non-coding RNA (VRAD_LNC002476)". The record is from RNAcentral. Lineage: Eukaryota; Viridiplantae; Streptophyta; Magnoliopsida; Fabales; Fabaceae.